GGACCCGCACAAGCGGUGGAUUAUGUGGAUUAAUUCGAUGCAACGCGAAAAACCUUACCUACCCUUGACAUGUCCGGAAGCCUGGUGAGAGCCGGGGGUGCCCGAAAGGGAACCGGAACACAGGUGCUGCAUGGCUGUCGUCAGCUCGUGUCGUGAGAUGUUGGGUUAAGUCCCGCAACGAGCGCAACCCUUGUCAUUAGUUGCUACAUUCAGUUGGGCACUCUAAUGAGACUGCCGGUGACAAACCGGAGGAAGGUGGGGAUGACGUCAAGUCCUCAUGGCCCUUAUGGGUAGGGCUUCACACGUAAUACAAUGGCGCGUACAGAGGGCUGCUAAGCCGCGAGGUAGAGCCAAUCCCUUAAAGCGCGUCGUAGUCCGGAUUGCAGUCUGCAACUCGACUGCAUGAAGUCGGAAUCGCUAGUAAUCGCGGAUCAGCAUGUCGCGGUGAAUACGUUCCCGGGUCUU
Molecule: ribosomal RNA, 465 nt
Filed under: uncultured bacterium
Lineage: Bacteria
Description: bacterial SSU rRNA
Rfam family: Bacterial small subunit ribosomal RNA
Source: RNAcentral